AGGGGGCUAGCGUUGUUCGGAAUCACUGGGCGUAAAGCGUAUGUAGGCGGAUCAAAAAGUUAGAUGUGAAAUCCCUGGGCUCAACCCAGGAACUGCAUUUAAAACUAGUGAUCUAGAAUUUGGUAGGGGUUAGUAGAAUUUCCAGUGUAGAGGUGAAAUUCGUAGAUAUUGGAAAGAAUACCAGUGGCGAAGGCGACUAACUGGGCCAUUUUUGACGCUGAGAUACGAAAGCGUGGGUAGCAAACAGGAUUAGAUACCCUGGUAGUCCACGCAGUAAACGAUGAGUGCUAGUCGCUGGGACAAUAGUUUCAGUGUCGAAGCUAACGCAUUAAGCACUCCGCCUGGGAAGUACGGUCGCAAGAUUAAAACUCAAAUAAAUUGACGGGGGCCCGCACAAGCGGUGGAGCAUGUGGUUUAAUUCGAAGCAACGCGAAGAACCUUACCAGACCUUGACAUGGUAUGUUUGAAUUACAGAAUCGUAAUUCUUCAGUUCGGCUGGCAUACACACAGGUGCUGCAUGGCUGUCGUCAGCUCGUGUCGUGAGAUGUUGGGUUAAGUCCCGCAACGAGCGCAACCCUCAUUUUUAGUUGCCAUCAGGUUAAGCUGGGCACUCUAAAAAAACUGCCGGUGAUAAGCUGGAGGAAGGCGGGGAUGACGUCAAGUCCUCAUGGCCCUUACGGUCUGGGCUACACACGUGCUACAAUGGUGGUGACAGUGGGCAGCAAUACUGCAAAGUAAAGCUAAUCCCAAAAAACCAUCUCAGUUCGGAUUGGACUCUGCAACUCGAGUCCAUGAAGUUGGAAUCGCUAGUAAUCGUAGAUCAGCGUGCUACGGUGAAUACGUUCUCGGGCCUUGUACACACCGCCCGUCACGCCAUGGGAGUUGGUUUUACCUUAAGCCGGUGCGCUAACCGCAAGGAAGCAGCCGUCCACGGUAGGGUCAGCGACUGGGGCGAAGUCGUAACAAGGUA
Molecule: ribosomal RNA, 970 nt
Filed under: marine metagenome
Description: bacterial SSU rRNA
Rfam family: Bacterial small subunit ribosomal RNA
Source: RNAcentral